CGUAGGCUUUCAGCGUGCGCUGACAGAGUGCAGAACGUACGCAAUCAUCUUUGUUAAAGCGUACGAUACCAAUCAUCUCGUCUUCCUCAAAACGCGCCAGUGCAUCGCUCAGACCCGACUUCACGCCGGAAGGCAAGUCACACUGGGUAAUAUCACCAUUGACGAUGACGGUCACGUUUUCCCCGAGGCGCGUU
This 194-nucleotide antisense RNA is filed under the name Enterobacter sp. FY-07. RNAcentral describes it as "Yersinia sRNA 251". It matches the Rfam family "Yersinia sRNA 251". Rfam says of the family: Antisense to phoH gene. Trimmed on 5'end from the original size. The record is from Rfam by way of RNAcentral. Lineage: Bacteria; Pseudomonadati; Pseudomonadota; Gammaproteobacteria; Enterobacterales; Enterobacteriaceae.